AGGAUAGUAGUUAAAAAUAACAUCUAAUUUGCAAUUAGAAAGAGCUUGACUAAAGCCUAUCUUA
This 64-nucleotide transfer RNA is filed under the name Physopelta quadriguttata. RNAcentral's name for it is "tRNA-Ala". Lineage: Eukaryota; Metazoa; Arthropoda; Insecta; Hemiptera; Largidae. The record is from RNAcentral.